Molecule: unclassified non-coding RNA, 336 nt
Filed under: soil metagenome
Description: partial contains 5.8S ribosomal RNA, internal transcribed spacer 2, and large subunit ribosomal RNA
Rfam family: 5.8S ribosomal RNA (bases 1-120)
Source: RNAcentral
GAUGAAGAACGCAGCGAAAUGCGAUAAGUAAUGUGAAUUGCAGAAUUCCGUGAAUCAUCGAAUCUUUGAACGCACAUUGCGCCCCCUGGCAUUCCGGGGGGCAUGCCUGUCCGAGCGUCAUUUCUGCCCUCAAGCACGGCUUGUGUGUUGGGUGUGGUCCCCCCGGGGACCUGCCCGAAAGGCAGCGGCGACGUCCGUCUGGUCCUCGAGCGUAUGGGGCUCUGUCACUCGCUCGGGAAGGACCUGCGGGGGUUGGUCACCACUAUAUUUACCACGGUUGACCUCGGAUCAGGUAGGAGUUACCCGCUGAACUUAAGCAUAUCAAUAAGCGGAGGA